Molecule: long non-coding RNA, 213 nt
Filed under: Ictidomys tridecemlineatus (thirteen-lined ground squirrel)
Lineage: Eukaryota; Metazoa; Chordata; Mammalia; Rodentia; Sciuridae
Description: lncRNA (ENSSTOG00000033046.1)
Source: RNAcentral
UUGAACUCCUGUGAGCCGUCUGGCCGAGACACUACCUGGAGCCAUCCAGAGACUGAUCCACCAGAAGCGUCCAUGUGUCCGGACCCUGAGCACCCGAUGUCUUUUCUGCUUUCAGAGCACCCAUAUUCACCAGAGGCCCACAUAUUUUCAAAAACACCCCGUAGUGACACCUGCCAGAGAUAAAGCAAGAACUUACGAAGACAACCGACUGCC